This 911-nucleotide ribosomal RNA is filed under the name Phaeoacremonium sp. CBS 122685. RNAcentral describes it as "eukaryotic LSU rRNA". It matches the Rfam family "Eukaryotic large subunit ribosomal RNA", at positions 1 to 944 of the family's 3401-position model. Lineage: Eukaryota; Fungi; Ascomycota; Sordariomycetes; Togniniales; Togniniaceae. The record is from RNAcentral.
GUUGACCUCGGAUCAGGUAGGAAUACCCGCUGAACUUAAGCAUAUCAAUAAGCGGAGGAAAAGAAACCAACAGGGAUUGCCCCAGUAACGGCGAGUGAAGCGGCAACAGCUCAGAUUUGAAAUCCGGCCUCGGCCCGAGUUGUAAUCUGUAGGGGAUGUCCCUGGCGCGGCGCCUACCGAGUUCCCUGGAACGGGACGCCAUAGAGGGUGAGAGCCCCGUAUGGUUGGACGCCUAGCCUCUGUGGGACUCCUCCGACGAGUCGAGUAGUUUGGGAAUGCUGCUCAAAUUGGGAGGUAAAUCUCUUCUAAAGCUAAAUACCGGCCAGAGACCGAUAGCGCACAAGUAGAGUGAUCGAAAGAUGAAAAGCACCUUGGAAAGGGGGUUAAAAAGCACGUGAAAUUGUUGAAAGGGAAGCGCCCAUGACCAGACUCGCGCCGGGCGGAUCAUCCAGCGUUCUCGCUGGUGCACUCCGCCCGGUACGGGCCAGCAUCGGUUUUCGCGGGGGGAUAAGAGCAGCGGGGACGUGGCCCCUCCGGGGGUGUUAUAACCCGCUGCACGAUGCCCUCUCGGGGACCGAGGUUCGCGCUCUGCAAGGAUGCUGGCAUAAUGGUCAUCGGCGACCCGUCUUGAAACACGGACCAAGGAGUCGUCCAUUACGGCGAGCGUUUGGGUGUCAAACCCCUACGCGUAAUGAAAGUGAACGCAGGUGAGAGCUUCGGCGCAUCAUCGACCGAUCCUGAUGUAUUCGGAUGGAUUUGAGUAAGAGUCGUACCGGACGGACCCGAAAGAUGGUGAACUAUGCCUGAAUAGGGUGAAGCCAGAGGAAACUCUGGUGGAGGCUCGCAGCGGUUCUGACGUGCAAAUCGAUCGUCAAAUUUGGGCAUGGGGGCGAAAGACUAAUCGAACCAUC